This 347-nucleotide long non-coding RNA is filed under the name Ananas comosus (pineapple). RNAcentral describes it as "long non-coding RNA (ACOM_LNC004683)". Lineage: Eukaryota; Viridiplantae; Streptophyta; Magnoliopsida; Poales; Bromeliaceae. The record is from RNAcentral.
UCUUUUUUUCUUUUUUUUUUUGAGAGAGAGAUAGGUAGCACGCUAUCCGUUUCGUUUAUUUUAUUUAGAAAUAAACUUAGUUGGAAAUGUGAAUCAAUUAGGAUUCAAACUUGGGUCCCAAGUACUAACCACCAAGCUCUUUGCCACUUGCUCUAAGGACGGUUGGUAUCGGAGCAUCUUAUUGUGUAUUGCAAGUAAGGAAUCACUGUUUGUGUAGAUACUGACCGUCCCUAGAGCAAGUGACAAAGGGUUUGGUAGUUGAUACUCAAGGUCCCAACUUCGAAUCCUAAUUGAUCCACAUUUUCAGCUAAAUUUAUUUCUAAAUAAAAUAAAUAAAGCAAAUAGCA